RNAcentral lists this long non-coding RNA (1856 nucleotides) under Olea europaea subsp. europaea. The record is from RNAcentral. Lineage: Eukaryota; Viridiplantae; Streptophyta; Magnoliopsida; Lamiales; Oleaceae.
GUCGAGGCAUAAUACAUUGCAACCGGUAGCUGCUGCACUUAAUUGUUUUGGAUGAAGCAAAUGUUGAGUAAUUAUGGGAUAAAUCAAGGCACCAUGAUCGUGUUUUGUUAUAACACCAACGCUAUUAACAUUUCCAAAAAUCCUGUUCAACAUUCCAGGACUAAACAUAUUGAUAUUCGUCAUCACUUCAUUCGUGAACUUGUUGAGUCCAAUGUGGUAUCCCUUGUACACAUUGCUACAGAAAAUCAACUUGCAGAUCUGUUCACUAAACCUUUAGAUGGUCUGAGGUUCGAGUCACUUAGGAACGUUGUUGGUGUUUGUGUACAUCCUUGACCAGUUUUAUAGGAACAUUCAAGUACAAUUCACCUCAGUGUCCAUUUUUGCAUUCAUUUCAUUGCAUGUUCAUUUUGUUUACAUUUGUUUUUUUCAUAUGUUUUUCAUCCAAUCGUAUAAAAAAAAUAAAAAAAUUCAGGUGACACGACUGUGUGGCGCAUUCAUGUUAAAAAAAAUUUAAAACAAAAAUUAAAAAAAAAAUUAGAAAUUUCUACAGCAUGAUAUACAAUUCUAAAAGUUGUAUGUUGUGACCUUGUAUGUGCUAAAAUGGAUAAGUUGUAGCAUUAUUUCCAUUGCUUGAUUAGGUCAUCAUGGAGUACUUAGUAUAUGUGUCUUCAUGUACCAUCUGUACUGCACUCACUUUGAAUUUGUUAGUGGAACUCUACCGUGUGUGUGAGAUUUAGGAUGGCUGUCACAUAUUAAUAGGGUGACUUUGAACAUGAAUUGACCAAUUUUUAGUAGACUUAAACCCGAAAAAACUUCCCCCAUUAUAUGAAAGCUCAUAUCUGAAUAUUCUUCUUCGGGGCCUAUUUGACUCGAGCAAUUAAGCAUGCAAGGUCUCUUAAAACCUGGUGUCUAUGGUCAACUGAUUUGGGUUAACAAGCCUAAAGCUCACUACAGGGGUCAUCUUAGUCCCCUAAUGGAGAAGAACUUGAACUUAAGAUGAAAGAUUAAUGAGCUAGAAAAAUUAGAAAAAUGUGAUAAAUAUGAAGAAUUGGAAUAAUAUAAAAAUCUGAAAAAUAUAAAAGCUCAUAGUAAAGGGAGAGAUAAAUAAAAAUGAUAAGUAUAGGUCUUAUUGCACAUUACAUGGUUUGACUUUCAUUAGUAAGAGAAUAUACUUAUUGACAGUGAUUGACAUGUCUCUUCUUACAAAAUUGAUGUUUGGAGUCCCACAUGCAUUGGACUAGUGACACCUUACACACAUGAGUCACUUGUACUUUGUACUCCAUUCUGAUCUGAACUGAGUAUGUGGGAAGGUCUAUGACUUAUUGAUUUUAUCUUUGCAUUCUAUCAACUGCAUUUUUAAGUUAUUAUGUGUUAUUGCUCAAAUUGUACUUGACACGAUAUCCUUCAGCAUUUGUGACAAAAAAGGGGAGAGAAAAGUGUAACUGAGGGGGAGGGAUAAAUACAUUGAUUUACUGCAUAACAUUUAUGAGAGUUCGAAGUACGGGAAAGCAUUGCAUUGCAUUCCAUAUCAUAUUCAUUGCUGUUUCAGUUUUGAUGUUUAGUGAUAUUGGUGUUUCGAUUGGUGUUUUGAUUAGCAUCAAUGUCACGUCUCAAACUAGCAUGUUGAAUUGUGAUUAAGUGCUUUAAUUUUAUAUUUCCUGUAUCACGUACUUUUAAACUGGGUAUGUGAGCUUUUAGAUUUCAGGAAACAGGUACAACAUGGAAUGCAAGACUCAGGGAUUCGAAUUUUGGGUGUUUGGGUCGUUUUAAUUGAUUGUAAUUCCUUGACUUAAAUUUGUAUAGUUUUGUCACAAAAUGCCAAAGGGGGGAUUGUUAGGUUUUUAAUUGUAAUUGGC